RNAcentral lists this ribosomal RNA (428 nucleotides) under uncultured bacterium. RNAcentral's name for it is "bacterial SSU rRNA". It matches the Rfam family "Bacterial small subunit ribosomal RNA", at positions 355 to 774 of the family's 1533-position model. The record is from RNAcentral.
UGGGGAAUUUUGGACAAUGGGCGCAAGCCUGAUCCAGCCAUGCCGCGUGCGGGAAGAAGGCCUUCGGGUUGUAAACCGCUUUUGUCAGGGAAGAAAUCCUUUGAGCUAAUACCUCGGGGGGGAUGACGGUACCUGAAGAAUAAGCACCGGCUAACUACGUGCCAGCAGCCGCGGUAAUACGUAGGGUGCAAGCGUUAAUCGGAAUUACUGGGCGUAAAGCGUGCGCAGGCGGUUAUGCAAGACAGAGGUGAAAUCCCCGGGCUCAACCUGGGAACUGCCUUUGUGACUGCAUAGCUAGAGUACGGUAGAGGGGGAUGGAAUUCCACGUGUAGCAGUGAAAUGCGUAGAGAUGUGGAGGAACACCGAUGGCGAAGGCAGCCCCCUGGGAUAACACUGACGCUCAUGCACGAAAGCGUGGGGAGCAAACA